Molecule: ribosomal RNA, 253 nt
Filed under: uncultured bacterium
Lineage: Bacteria
Description: partial 16S ribosomal RNA
Rfam family: Bacterial small subunit ribosomal RNA
Source: RNAcentral
UACGAAGGGGGCUAGCGUUGCUCGGAAUCACUGGGCGUAAAGGGUGCGUAGGCGGGUCUUUAAGUCAGGGGUGAAAUCCUGGAGCUCAACUCCAGAACUGCCUUUGAUACUGAGGAUCUUGAGUGCGGGAGAGGAGAGUGGAAUUCCUGGUGUAGCGGUGAAAUGCGCAGAUAUCAGGAAGAACACCCGUGGCGAAGGCGGCUCUCUGGAACGCAACUGACGCUGAGACGCGAAAGCGUGGGGAGCAAACAGG